This 180-nucleotide ribosomal RNA is filed under the name uncultured Glomeromycotina. RNAcentral describes it as "partial small subunit ribosomal RNA". The record is from RNAcentral. Lineage: Eukaryota; Fungi; Glomeromycota.
GGCCUGGCUGGGUGGUCUUGCCGAAAGGUAAGCACUGCUCUGGUCGGGUCUUUCCUUCUGGGGAACCAGCGUGCUCUUAACUGAGUGCGUUGAGGAUCCAGGACUUUUACUUUGAAAAAAUUAGAGUGUUUAAAGCAGGCUUUCAAGCUUGAACAUAUUAGCAUGGAAUAAUGAAAUAGG